UCGAGAUUUUUUUUUUCUUCUUCUUCUUCUGAGGAAAUUAACCGAUCUCGCUUUUUUUGUUUAAAUUUCGAAUAACGAAACGAGUGUUUCGUAUAAAACCAGUACUAAAUAUUCUUUUGUUAAUAUUUAUGGUUAUCAUCAAAGUCCCGUGUUGAUUUUUGAAAUUUAAGACCCACUCGAAUAAUAAAUUGAUGUAUUUUUGUUAAUUUUUAAAUUAUUUUUUGUUUUUUGACUUCUGAGAAAUCGAGCUUUAAUGAUCUUUAUAUGACAGUAGUCUUUAUGAAUAAGGAAAACUUUUGAAUGAUGGACGGUUGAGGAAAUAUUACCAGGGUUUUUUUUUUAAUUUGUAAUGUUUAUUCCGGUUUUUAAUUUGGUUUUAAUAAAAAUAAAUAACCCAUAAAGAAUGACCUUCGAUCUGGUGAAGUGGCUAACCCGCAUUCAAAAAAAAAAAAAAAAAAAAUUAAUAGUCUUUCAUUUCUGUGUAAAGAGGAGCCUUGUUAAGUUCGUACAGGAAAAAUCCUUUAAUUCUAUAAAUAAAGACGAGAUUUUUUUUUAAAUUAUUUUUUUAUUAAAAUUUCGGAGUGUUUUUUUUUUUUCCUUUUAUAGAUGCCACGUUACACGGCAGAAUACGUGGAAACGGGAUGGAGGAUACACAACAGAUAAUUGUCGUCUCACCAGGACAGGUGAAAGCUAUCCUUGUUAAUUAGUAGUGUGUGGCGAACGGAAGGAAAGGGCUAGAGAACGGAAAUUAUCCCGCUGUUUCCUGUGUUCCCAACUAGUGUAAACAAGUAGGGAUGUGAGAAUUAGUAUUUGUUUCUGUAUCUUACAUCUCAUCUCGUCCCGUCGUCCUUCACCUGCUGUACGAAUCGCAGAUGUCUUCCUUUUUAGCCUACGGAGCGACCCACGUAAAAAUCAUUAUCCGCCAGAAGUUAUAAAUGUCCUCUGAUCCUUUAUCUGACUGUCGAAUCUGCAAAUAUCCAUACGUGUGACGAAACGUUUCGUAACACAAAUUGAAAAUGACGCAACUUAUAUUAGAUAUAAGCUGCGGCUAGAUGAUUUAUGUCAUCUAUUUAUUCUUAGCAUUUUUUGACGAGAUGACGACAACUGAUAAAGCAGAUUGGGUAGAAAUUGCAUUUUUAUCGAGCUUAACCAAAUCUGUUUCAAAAGUUUGGUGUUCUAGACACGACUCUUCCGAACGUUGUCCAAAAUGUGACGUAAUUAUUGGAAGUAGGGUAGAAGCGCGCCUGAUUUUUUUUUAUUUUUUUUUAUUUUUUUUUUUUGGAAAACUUGGAAAGAGUAUCUCUUCUAAAGGUUAAACGGAAUCGGAUAAUCCGGAUAAAGCCUCGGUGAGGAAGGAAAGGCAGUGGUAUUUCCGUUGUUACCACAGAAUAUUCUUCCAGAAAAUCCAACUACCGUACAGAUGAAGCCAUUUUCAAGGAAUCGGAGAACGUUUACUGGUUUUAAGAUAGAUGAAAAAUUAAAAGACACUCUCCUCCGAUCGGUGCCAGUCACCCAAAAGCCGUUAGAAUCACACACAGCAAGCAGAUGGUCGGAUUUGCAACACGUGUUGAGAACACCCCCUCUCCGCUCCAUAUGUUGAUUGCACAUUUAAUUGCAUUUUAUCCCGUAAGUUUCUUCUCCCCAUUGGAUACAUAAACGGUCCAAAAGCAAUAAUGGGCACAGGAGGCGAGACCAUAGCGACCCGUUAAGACGUCGGCAACUGGCAGAGAGGAAAAGGAACCGUUAGGCCCCCAUUGUUGUCGGCUGGCACGUGCCUGCUGUCUCAAGUCAUUAAGGGAGUCAGUGGCUCGUGGCCUACCACCUCCCCGUCGACCACCUGGCCCUGCGGGUACAAGGCCCCCAGCCAGACGGAUGGCGUGUCUCAAGACCUCAUCCAUUAUCUUCGGAUGUUUCGACUAAUUAAAUAUGCAUUUCAGACGCGUGUCCGGAAGACAGAAAAAGUAACACCAGGUAUACCGGGUGACGUCAUCGGCCGAGCAAGUGAUUGUUUGCAAACACGGAACACACAGACAUACACAUACACACACAAACACACCACACACACUUAUCGUUACAAAGUUGUCGGUG
Molecule: long non-coding RNA, 2088 nt
Filed under: Androctonus crassicauda
Lineage: Eukaryota; Metazoa; Arthropoda; Arachnida; Scorpiones; Buthidae
Source: RNAcentral